GGGGAUUUGGCUUAGUGGUAGAGCGCUUGCCUAGCAAGCGCAAGGCCCUGGGUUCGAUCCCCAGCUCA
Molecule: transfer RNA, 68 nt
Filed under: Rattus norvegicus (Norway rat)
Lineage: Eukaryota; Metazoa; Chordata; Mammalia; Rodentia; Muridae
Rfam family: tRNA
About the family: Transfer RNA (tRNA) molecules are approximately 80 nucleotides in length. Their secondary structure includes four short double-helical elements and three loops (D, anti-codon, and T loops). Further hydrogen bonds mediate the characteristic L-shaped molecular structure. tRNAs have two regions of fundamental functional importance: the anti-codon, which is responsible for specific mRNA codon recognition, and the 3' end, to which the tRNAs corresponding amino acid is attached (by aminoacyl-tRNA synthetases). tRNAs cope with the degeneracy of the genetic code in two manners: having more than one tRNA (with a specific anti-codon) for a particular amino acid; and 'wobble' base-pairing, i.e. permitting non-standard base-pairing at the 3rd anti-codon position.
Source: Rfam by way of RNAcentral